AGCCCCGUAGUGUAGUGGCCAAUCAUCUUCGGCUCUGGACCGGAGGACCGCGGUUCGAACCCGCGCGGGGCUA
Molecule: transfer RNA, 73 nt
Filed under: Candidatus Woesearchaeota archaeon CG08_land_8_20_14_0_20_43_7
Lineage: Archaea; Nanobdellati; Candidatus Woesearchaeota
Description: tRNA-Gln
Rfam family: tRNA
About the family: Transfer RNA (tRNA) molecules are approximately 80 nucleotides in length. Their secondary structure includes four short double-helical elements and three loops (D, anti-codon, and T loops).
Source: RNAcentral